This 559-nucleotide ribosomal RNA is filed under the name uncultured bacterium. RNAcentral describes it as "bacterial SSU rRNA". It matches the Rfam family "Bacterial small subunit ribosomal RNA", at positions 338 to 916 of the family's 1533-position model. The record is from RNAcentral.
CCUACGGGAGGCAGCAGUGAGGAAUUUUCCGCAAUGGGCGAAAGCCUGACGGAGCAAUACCGCGUGAGGGAUGAAGGAUUUUGGUCUGUAAACCUCUUUUCUCAAGAAAGAAGUUCUGACGGUACUUGAGGAAUAAGCAUCGGCUAACUCCGUGCCAGCAGCCGCGGUAAUACGGGGGAUGCAAGCGUUAUCCGGAAUGAUUGGGCGUAAAGCGCCUGUAGGUUGUUUAUUAAGUCCGUUGUUAAAGCCUAGGGCUCAACCCUAGAAAAGCAAUGGAAACUAGUAGACUAGAGUAUGGCAGGGGUAGAGGGAAUUUCUAGUGUAGCGGCGAAAUGCGUAGAUAUUAGAAAGAACACCGGUGGCGAAAGCGCUCUACUGGACCAUUACUGACACUCAGAGGCGAAAGCUAGGGUAGCAAAAGGGAUUAGAUACCCCUGUAGUCCUAGCCGUAAACGAUGGAUACUAGAUGUUGUGCAUUAUGUACAGUAUCGUAGCUAACGCGUUAAGUAUCCCGCCUGGGGAGUACGCUCGCAAGGGUGAAACUUAAAGGAAUUGACGG